AACACUCGGCUUACAUAUAAGCCGAAUGUCCCCAUGUAAGUCGAGUGCCAACGGGCACAUGAUUUAUACAUAACGGCAACAACAAUAUAUUACAUAUCCAAUAUAUCACGACAACAACAAUAUAGAUCACAGCAAUAUAUUAGAUAUCCAAUAGAUCACAAAAACAACAACAAUAUAUUACAUAUCCAAUAGAUCACAACAACAAUAUAGUUUGACAAAAGCAUGUGUGCAUAUGCAACAGGAAUUCACAAAUGAAAUGGUCAUGCAUACAUAUCCAAUAUAUUACAAGUUCACAACAAUAACAAACCGAUGAUGAGUUCAAAGUCCACACACGCAUACAUAUCCAACAUAGUUUGACAAAAACACACAUACAUAUUCAAGGAGAGUUCAGAACAUGUGUACAUAUGCAAACACUUUGCCUUGUGAUUGCAGGUUCAUACCAGACACAUAGAGAAAAGGACUAAAUUGAAGACCAAAAAUCGUCUCAAAUAGUAGCAAGAAAAAUAUGAUUAAAGAAGGU
RNAcentral lists this long non-coding RNA (520 nucleotides) under Hordeum vulgare. Its description in RNAcentral is "long non-coding RNA (HVUL_LNC011912)". The record is from RNAcentral. Lineage: Eukaryota; Viridiplantae; Streptophyta; Magnoliopsida; Poales; Poaceae.